Molecule: long non-coding RNA, 580 nt
Filed under: Callithrix jacchus (white-tufted-ear marmoset)
Lineage: Eukaryota; Metazoa; Chordata; Mammalia; Primates; Cebidae
Description: lncRNA (ENSCJAG00000087082.1)
Source: RNAcentral
CAAAGACAUUCUGUCAUUUUCAUUGUCAUAUAUUCUUUUCUUAUUUUUUAAACUGUAUUAAAAAUUUGAUUUAUGCCUAUCAAUUAUUGAAGAUGUUUUCUCUUUCUACCUAAGGUCAAGUUGAGAGAGAAAUUCCCCUUGGAGGUUUCUGUUGAAAUUUCCACCUAUUCUGGAUAUGAGAUUUCUCCCUUGACCUCUGUACUUCUUGAGGUCAUUAAAAUCUAAGCUUGGCUUUCUUUGGUUUGGCAAACACCCUCAGCAUUUUAAAUAUGUUGUUCCAAUGUCAUCUGUUCUUAAUGGUUUCUGAUGUCACAUCCACCAUCAUUUGAAUCAUUGUUCCACCACAGCUCCACAGCAGCCUUGAAAAUAAACAGCAUUACAACUACAGUAGCUGUGAAUCCAGCAGCCAAGCAGCCACUGGAGGGGGACAUGGAUGAAUCUGGAGAACAUCAUUCUCAGCAAACUGACACAAGAACAGAAAAUGAAAUACCGCAUAUUCUCACUCAUAGGUAGGUGAUGAAUAAUGAGAACAUAUGGACACAGGGAGGGAAGCACUACACACUGGGGUCUAUUGAGGGGG